CGUAGUUCUGUUGCUUUGUUGUCUUUGGUUGUCGGUAUUAUUAAAAUCCACUGCUCCAGUAUGUCUUCAUUUAUUAAAAUACAAUCUCUGAAAAGCAGUUUGUUUGGAGGCGUACGAAAUCCAGUGCUGUGUUUAUCUAGGUUUGUUAUUUUGAGUAUGCGUAUGGUGUCCAUUGUCAUGUAAUCGUAUCGGGUUAAGAAGUUAUUUGUGUGUUCGAAGUUUGGUUGCGCGUUGCGCGAUUACUUGCUAGUUGCAAGCAGUUAUUUUUAUCGGUGUACUGCUACAAAUUAUUCGAUUGUUGUAAAAGACGUCUCCAGGGCUAUUACGAGUCAUAACAUCUCAAAAUUGAUGAAAAUACGUCCUAAAAUAAUCUCCCUUCGUUGUCUCAUACCAUUAUUAUAUAUACUGUCUGAUGUUUUGGAGCAUUAGUAACAUCCAGUACUGGUUUGUUGGCAUGUGUACAUAGUGACAAUAUUGACGACAUUUUGUAUACUCUGGACGUAGGCGUUUCUGUCAUAUGGAUGACGUCAUGGGUCAAAGCAGAUGGAUUAAAUCGGAUGCUUCCCUAAUGCCGAGUUCCGAAGGACACUAAUGACAGCAGCAGAGAAGCUUGCCGCUGUUCCUGAUGUGGAUAUCGACCCAGAA
Long non-coding RNA from Schistocerca piceifrons (Central American locust), 645 nucleotides. RefSeq lists it as uncharacterized. The record is from RefSeq and is a predicted model, not a curated record. NCBI's taxonomy places the organism in Eukaryota, Metazoa, Arthropoda, Insecta, Orthoptera, Acrididae. The transcript is spliced from 3 exons.